Molecule: long non-coding RNA, 254 nt
Organism: Alosa sapidissima (American shad)
Lineage: Eukaryota; Metazoa; Chordata; Actinopteri; Clupeiformes; Clupeidae
Exons: 3
Source: RefSeq, a predicted model, not a curated record
UGGUAGUAGUGAAUGUGCUGGACAUGAGCAGAGGUCAAUGUGUCGGACAUGUUAAAGCAGUGAAGGACGUGGACAUGUGAAGGAGGUGGAUAUGUGAAGGAGGUGGACAUGUCAUGUGAAGGAGGUGGACAUGUCGUGUGAAGGAGGUGGACAUGUGAAGGAGGUGGAUAUGUGAAGGAGGUGGACAUGUGAAGCAGGUGUACAUGUGAAGGAGGUGGACAUGUGAAGGAGGUGGACAUGUGAAAGUGGUUAGU